CCUACGGGGGGCAGCAGUGGGGAAUAUUGCACAAUGGGGGAAACCCUGAUGCAGCGACGCCGCGUGAGUGAAGAAGUAAUUCGUUAUGUAAAGCUCUAUCAGCAGGGAAGAAAAUGACGGUACCUGAGUAAGAAGCACCGGCUAACUACGUGCCAGCAGCCGCGGUAAUACGUAGGGGGCAAGCGUUAUCCGGAUUUACUGGGUGGAAAGGGAGCGUAGACGGCAGUGCAAGUCUGGAGUGAAAGGCGGGGGCUCAACCCCCGGACUGCUUUGGAAACUGUACGGCUGGAGUGCAGGAGAGGUAAGUGGAAUUCCGAGUGUAGCGGUGAAAUGCGUAGAUAUUAGGAGGAACACCAGUGGCGAAGGCGGCUUACUGGACUGUAACUGACGUUGAGGCUCGAAAGCGUGGGGAGCAAACAGGAUUAGAUACCCUGGUAGUC
This 440-nucleotide ribosomal RNA is filed under the name uncultured bacterium. RNAcentral describes it as "partial 16S ribosomal RNA". It matches the Rfam family "Bacterial small subunit ribosomal RNA", at positions 338 to 795 of the family's 1533-position model. The record is from RNAcentral.